AGGGCGCAUGGUGAAUGCCUUGGCACUAGGAGCCGAUGAAGGACGGGACUAACACCGAUAUGCUUCGGGGAGCUGUACGUAAGCUAUGAUCCGGAGAUUUCCGAAUGGGGCAACCCAGCAGUUUUAAUCAACUGUUACCACUAGAUGAAUUCAUAGUCUAGUUGGAGGUAAACGCUGUGAACUGAAACAUCUCAUUAGCAGCAGGAAUAUAAAGAAAUUUCGAUUCCCUAAGUAGCGGCGAGCGAACGGGGAACAGCCCAAACCAAAGUGCUUGCACUUUGGGGUUGUAGGACUGAACAUUUGAGUUACCAAAGAACUUGAUAGUCGAAGGAUUUGGGAAAAUCCGCCAUAGAUGGUGAUAGCCCAGUAGAUUAAAUCAAAUUCUCUCAGUUCAGGAUCCUGAGUACGGCGGAACACGUGAAAUUCCGUCGGAAUCCGGGAGGACCAUCUCCCAAGGCUAAAUACUACCUAGUGACCGAUAGUGAACCAGUACCGUGAGGGAAAGGUGAAAAGCACCCCGGGAGGGGAGUGAAAUAGUUCCUGAAACCAUGUGCCUACAAUAAGUCAGAGCGCGUUAAUGCGUGAUGGCGUGCCUUUUGUAGAAUGAACCGGCGAGUUAUGAUCCCGUGCAAGGUUAAGACUAAAAAGUCGGAGCCGUAGCGAAAGCGAGUCUGAAAUGGGCGUUUUGAGUACGAGGUUAUAGACCCGAAACCAGGUGACCUAUCCAUGUCCAGGUUGAAGGUGCGGUAAAACGCACUGGAGGACCGAACCCGUGUAAGUUGAAAAUUGCUGGGAUGAGGUGUGGAUAGCGGUGAAAUUCCAAACGAACUUGGAGAUAGCUGGUUCUCUCCGAAAUAGCUUUAGGGCUAGCCUCGGAAUUAGGAUCAUGGAGGUAGAGCACUAUUUGGACUAGGGGCCCGUCUUGGGUUACUGAAUUCAGAUAAACUCCGAAUGCCAUUGAUUCAUAUCCGGGAGUCAGACGAUGAGUGAUAAGAUCCACCGUCGAAAGGGGAACAGCCCAGACCAUCAGUUAAGGUCCCUAAAUGUAUGCUAAGUGGAAAAGGAUGUGGAGUUGCAUAGACAACUAGGAUGUUGGCUCAGAAGCAGCCACCAUUUAAAGAGUGCGUAAUAGCUCACUAGUCGAGUGAUCCUGCGCCGAAAAUGUACCGGGGCUAAGCAUACUACCGAAACCAUGGAUGCGACCAUUAGGUCGCGUGAUAGGAGAGCGUUCUAAGGGCGGUGAAGCAAGAUCGUGAGGACUUGUGGAGCGCUUAGAAGUGAGAAUGCCGGUAUGAGUAGCGAAAGAUAGGUGAGAAUCCUAUCCACCGAAUGACUAAGGUUUCCUGGGGAAGGCUCGUCCUCCCAGGGUUAGUCGGGACCUAAGUCGAGGCCGAGAGGCGUAGACGAUGGAUAACAGGUUGAGAUUCCUGUACUAGUUAAGUGCGUUUGAGCAAUGGAGGGACGCAGGAGGCUAAGAUGUGCAUUCUGUUGGAUUAGAAUGUCCAAGCAGUAAGUCUUGUGAAGAGUCAAAUGCUUUUCACUUUAAGGACAAGCUGUGAUGGGGAGCGAAAUUUAGUAGCGAAGCGUCUGAUGUCACACUGCCGAGAAAAGCUUCUAGUGAGUACUUAACUACCCGUACCGCAAACCGACACAGGUAGUCGAGGAGAGAAUCCUAAGGUGAGCGAGUGAACUCUCGUUAAGGAACUCGGCAAAAUGACCCCGUAACUUCGGGAGAAGGGGUGCUGAUCGCAAGAUCAGCCGCAGUGAAUAGGCCCAGGCGACUGUUUAUCAAAAACACAGGUCUCUGCAAAAUCGUAAGAUGACGUAUAGGGGCUGACGCCUGCCCGGUGCUGGAAGGUUAAAAGGAUGGGUUAGCUUCGGCGAAGCUCAGAAUUGAAGCCCCAGUAAACGGCGGCCGUAACUAUAACGGUCCUAAGGUAGCGAAAUUCCUUGUCGGGUAAGUUCCGACCCGCACGAAAGGCGUAACGAUCUGGGCACUGUCUCAACGAGAGACUCGGUGAAAUUAUAUUGUCCGUGAAGAUGCGGACUACCCGCGACAGGACGGAAAGACCCCAUGGAGCUUUACUGUAGCUUGAUAUUGAGUGUUUGUACAGCUUGUACAGGAUAGGUAGGAGCCAUAGAAACCGGAACGCUAGUUUCGGUGGAGGCGUUGGUGGGAUACUACCCUCGCUGUAUGACCACUCUAACCCGCAUCACUAAUCGUGGUGGGAGACAGUGUCAGGUGGGCAGUUUGACUGGGGCGGUCGCCUCCUAAAAAGUAACGGAGGCGCCCAAAGGUUCCCUCAGAAUGGUUGGAAAUCAUUCGCAGAGUGUAAAGGCACAAGGGAGCUUGACUGCGAGACAGACAGGUCGAGCAGGGACGAAAGUCGGGCUUAGUGAUCCGGUGGUACCGUAUGGAAGGGCCAUCGCUCAACGGAUAAAAGCUACCCUGGGGAUAACAGGCUUAUCUCCCCCAAGAGUCCACAUCGACGGGGAGGUUUGGCACCUCGAUGUCGGCUCAUCGCAUCCUGGGGCUGUAGUCGGUCCCAAGGGUUGGGCUGUUCGCCCAUUAAAGCGGUACGCGAGCUGGGUUCAGAACGUCGUGAGACAGUUCGGUCCCUAUCCGUCGCGGGCGUAGGAAAUUUGAGAGGACCUGUCCUUAGUACGAGAGGACCGGGAUGGACAUACCUCUGGUGUACCAGUUGUGCCGCCAGGCGCAUCGCUGGGUAGCUACGUAUGGAUGUGAUAAACGCUGAAAGCAUCUAAGUGUGAAACACACCUCGAGAUGAGAUUUCCCAUUCCUUUAU
Molecule: ribosomal RNA, 2807 nt
Filed under: Lactiplantibacillus plantarum
Lineage: Bacteria; Bacillati; Bacillota; Bacilli; Lactobacillales; Lactobacillaceae
Description: bacterial LSU rRNA
Rfam family: Bacterial large subunit ribosomal RNA
Source: RNAcentral